GAGAUCGGGAUAACACCUGGAAACAGAUGCUAAUACCGGAUAACAACAGAUGAUGCCUAUCAACUGUUUAAAAGAUGGUUCUGCUAUCACUCUUGGAUGGACCUGCGGUGCAUUAGCUAGUUGGUAGGGUAACGGCCUACCAAGGCGAUGAUGCAUAGCCGAGUUGAGAGACUGAUCGGCCACAUUGGGACUGAGACACGGCCCAAACUCCUACGGGAGGCAGCAGUC
RNAcentral lists this ribosomal RNA (228 nucleotides) under uncultured Lactobacillus sp. RNAcentral describes it as "partial 16S ribosomal RNA". It matches the Rfam family "Bacterial small subunit ribosomal RNA", at positions 134 to 355 of the family's 1533-position model. Lineage: Bacteria; Bacillati; Bacillota; Bacilli; Lactobacillales; Lactobacillaceae. The record is from RNAcentral.